CGGGGAGUGGCGCAGUCCGGCAGCGCACAUCGUUUGGGACGAUGGGGUCGUAGGUUCAAAUCCUAUCUCCCCGA
Molecule: transfer RNA, 74 nt
Filed under: Caldilineaceae bacterium
Lineage: Bacteria; Bacillati; Chloroflexota; Caldilineae; Caldilineales; Caldilineaceae
Description: tRNA-Pro
Rfam family: tRNA
About the family: Transfer RNA (tRNA) molecules are approximately 80 nucleotides in length. Their secondary structure includes four short double-helical elements and three loops (D, anti-codon, and T loops).
Source: RNAcentral